AAGUCGUAACAAGGUUUCCGUAGGUGAACCUGCGGAAGGAUCAUUAACACUUUUAAUGAGUCCAAACCAUUGGAUUUCAACCAACCCGUACGAACCUAUUUCAUUCCGGUUAUUUGAUUGGGGGCGUGUUUCUGUGAUGUUUCUCAUUAGGGUAAAACCUGAAAGAGCACGCAUACAGAAAAAGCCUCACGUUAGAUAACCCGUCCCUGUCAACUUUUUCUCUAACGAUUUUGAACCUAACUGACUAAAACUUUUUUUGCAUUGCUAACGGGGAAACCCUGCAGUAAUUCAAAUCAAAAA
RNAcentral lists this unclassified non-coding RNA (300 nucleotides) under Phylloporus sp. Its description in RNAcentral is "partial contains small subunit ribosomal RNA and internal transcribed spacer 1". The stretch from base 1 to 46 matches the Rfam family "Eukaryotic small subunit ribosomal RNA", at positions 1786 to 1831 of the family's 1831-position model. The record is from RNAcentral. Lineage: Eukaryota; Fungi; Basidiomycota; Agaricomycetes; Boletales; Boletaceae.